GUUUUCUCGUCCUUCUCUCGACCGUCCUUUUAUCCUCAUACAUCUGUUGCCGUGACUCUCG
Molecule: small RNA, 61 nt
Filed under: Arabidopsis thaliana (thale cress)
Lineage: Eukaryota; Viridiplantae; Streptophyta; Magnoliopsida; Brassicales; Brassicaceae
Description: ATSL127870
Source: RNAcentral